RNAcentral lists this ribosomal RNA (506 nucleotides) under uncultured bacterium. Its description in RNAcentral is "partial 16S ribosomal RNA". It matches the Rfam family "Bacterial small subunit ribosomal RNA", at positions 29 to 523 of the family's 1533-position model. The record is from RNAcentral.
AGUGAACGCUGGCGGUAGGCCUAACACAUGCAAGUCGAACGGCAGCACAGAGGAGCUUGCUCCUUGGGUGGCGAGUGGCGGACGGUUGAGGAAUACAUCGGAAUCUACUCUGUCGUGGGGGAUAACGUAGGGAAACUUACGCUAAUACCGCAUACGACCUACGGGUGAAAGCAGGGGACCUUCGGGCCUUGCGCGAUUGAAUGAGCCGAUGUCGGAUUAGCUAGUUGGCGGGGUAAAGGCCCAGCAAGGCGACGAUCCGUAGAUGGUCUGAGGGGAUGAUCAGCCACACUGGAACUGAGACACGGUCCAGACUCCUACGGGAGGCAGCAGUGGGGAAUAUUGGACAAUGGGCGCAAGCCUGAUCCAGCCAUACCGCGUGGGUGAAGAAGGCCUUCGGGUUGUAAAGCCCUUUUGUUGGGAAAGAAAUCCAGCUGGCUAAUACCCGGUUGGGAUGACGGUACCCAAAGAAUAAGCACCGGCUAACUUCGUGCCAGCCGCCGCUGUAA